UCCUUGGUAGUCUAGUGGUUAAGACUCCAUCUUCUAAUGCAGGGGACACGGGUUCAAUCCCUGGUCAGGGAA
Ovis aries (sheep) is the source of this 72-nucleotide transfer RNA. It matches the Rfam family "tRNA". From Rfam's summary of the family: Transfer RNA (tRNA) molecules are approximately 80 nucleotides in length. Their secondary structure includes four short double-helical elements and three loops (D, anti-codon, and T loops). Further hydrogen bonds mediate the characteristic L-shaped molecular structure. tRNAs have two regions of fundamental functional importance: the anti-codon, which is responsible for specific mRNA codon recognition, and the 3' end, to which the tRNAs corresponding amino acid is attached (by aminoacyl-tRNA synthetases). tRNAs cope with the degeneracy of the genetic code in two manners: having more than one tRNA (with a specific anti-codon) for a particular amino acid; and 'wobble' base-pairing, i.e. permitting non-standard base-pairing at the 3rd anti-codon position. NCBI's taxonomy places the organism in Eukaryota, Metazoa, Chordata, Mammalia, Artiodactyla, Bovidae. The record is from Rfam.